RNAcentral lists this ribosomal RNA (116 nucleotides) under Jaculus jaculus (lesser Egyptian jerboa). Lineage: Eukaryota; Metazoa; Chordata; Mammalia; Rodentia; Dipodidae. The record is from RNAcentral.
GUCUAUGACCAUACCACCUGAAUGUGCCUGAUCUCACCUGCUCUCAGAAGCUAAGUGGGGUCAGGCUUGGUUACUAUUUGGAUGGGAGAGUUGAAGGGCAGCCUGGGCUAUAUAAU